GGCAGUGUAGUAUAAUGGGUAAGGAACUGGGCUCGUAACCCUAAGGUCCUAAGUUCGAAUCCUGGGGUGGACA
This 73-nucleotide transfer RNA is filed under the name Anguilla anguilla (European eel). Its description in RNAcentral is "tRNA-OTHER". The record is from RNAcentral. Lineage: Eukaryota; Metazoa; Chordata; Actinopteri; Anguilliformes; Anguillidae.